This 461-nucleotide unclassified non-coding RNA is filed under the name Hevea brasiliensis (rubber tree). Lineage: Eukaryota; Viridiplantae; Streptophyta; Magnoliopsida; Malpighiales; Euphorbiaceae. The record is from RNAcentral.
GUACUUUGGAAAUCAUUUUAUAGAGAAUUAACAAAAUCUGAGUGAAAGUAUCAGUAGUUACUUUUAGUUUUAUCUUAGCCAGAAUAACUGCAUUUACAGUGCUUAGGUUGACCAAUCAAAUGCCAUGUUUACAUCAAAGAUUGCCAUUAUUCUUACUUAUUUGUGGAUGUUAUGAUGAGUAGUUAUCUAUCAGGAUUUGGAGCAGUGAAUGAUAACUAAAGGUAGCAUCAUCAGAGGAAUGAUUUGGAUAAGGAUUCCACAGGGUACCAUAAGAAUUGACUUGAUAAUUUUGUGUUCUCUGUUGUGAUUUGGUUUUGUCGUAAUAGUAUGACUUUUGAUGUAUGACACUAAACUGCCGCAGAAAUUCCUGUAUGAUGAUGCUUUGAUGAUGUUGAAUUCGAGUUUCUUAGCAAGAUCUUAUGUUUGCUGUCAUCUUGAAUAAUAUUGUUGUGAAAUCAUGG